This is a non-coding RNA of Pogona vitticeps (central bearded dragon), 763 nucleotides long. Lineage: Eukaryota; Metazoa; Chordata; Lepidosauria; Squamata; Agamidae. The record is from RefSeq and is a predicted model, not a curated record.
UGAAUGAUGGACUCUAGAGUGACCAUCCGAAAGCGUCUUGAUUGAACAGAAGUAUUCAGCAGCCUGAGAUCGAGAAUAGGUCUGAGGCUGCCAUCCUUUUUGGGUUGUCUGCAGUAGAGUGCUUAGAUGAGGAGCCCAUCAAAGGCUUUUUUGCAGGCAUUUUGGAGGAUUUCACUGGAGGGGAGCAGGAAGAGGAUUUAGUUUUCAACAUGAAUCAGGGAGGAACAGCAGCUGCAAGGUGUUGAAAGACAAAUCCCGAUUGGUAGAUACAGUCACUUCAGCCGCAGGCUUGUCAUCACUGUAUAUACUGCUAAUAUAUGGUGCUGACAACUAUGUUGCCAAGAGAUGUCUACUGAGAAAAAAAGAGAGAGAGAUAUAUCAUUAUUCUGGAAGAUAAUGCCAAAACUGCAAAAGAAGAAUAAGAAGAAAAUUUUCUGCGACCCUUGAAGCAGGUGAAAUUAGCCCAUGGUUCUGCCAAAAUUGCAGGCUUCCAGGAAGACAGAAUUACACCUGCAUCAUCUUCUUCUACUUCCUUGCAAGAUAUGAGCAAGGUUCUAAUAAUUUCAUGCUCAAGUGCUUUUAAUUUUUCUUCUAUAUUUAUGCAUUUAAAUUUAAUUUUUUAAUUUCAAAGGACAUUUUACCCUGUUUUCAGUCAAAAGGGCUUCAAGAAAGACUGACACACGAUAUUAAAAAAUGACAAGAGAAAAGAAAAACAAUGAAGAAGGAAGAGAGGGGAGAGUAAAGUGAAGUCAAAUGAUUAAAC